GACGAACGCUGGCGGCGUGCUUAACACAUGCAAGUCGAACGGAAAGGCCCUGCUUUUGUGGGGUGCUCGAGUGGCGAACGGGUGAGUAACACGUGAGUAACCUGCCCUUGACUUUGGGAUAACUUCAGGAAACUGGGGCUAAUACCGGAUAGGAGCUCCUGCUGCAUGGUGGGGGUUGGAAAGUUUCGGCGGUUGGGGAUGGACUCGCGGCUUAUCAGCUUGUUGGUGGGGUAGUGGCUUACCAAGGCUUUGACGGGUAGCCGGCCUGAGAGGGUGACCGGCCAAAGAGGAGCAGGAGUGAGGAGCAGACACGGAGGGAAGGCAGCAUGAGGGAAUAAUGAACGAGGGGCGGAAGCCUGAUACGGAAACCACGCGGGGUGGAUGGCGCCCUUCGGGUUGCAAGCUGCUUUCGAGUGUGAAGGAGGGGGAGAGAAGGGAAGGCGAAAAGAAUCACCGGCAAACUACGGUCAAGCAGCAGUGGUAAUAGAUCGAGAAAGCACACGUCUGAA
Molecule: ribosomal RNA, 509 nt
Filed under: uncultured bacterium
Lineage: Bacteria
Description: partial 16S ribosomal RNA
Rfam family: Bacterial small subunit ribosomal RNA
Source: RNAcentral